ACGCCGCGUGAGUGAAGAAGGUUUUCGGAUCGUAAAGCUCUGUUGUUGGUGAAGAAGGAUAGAGGUAGUAACUGGCCUUUAUUUGACGGUAAUCAACCAGAAAGUCACGGCUAACUACGUGCC
RNAcentral lists this ribosomal RNA (123 nucleotides) under uncultured bacterium. Its description in RNAcentral is "partial 16S ribosomal RNA". It matches the Rfam family "Bacterial small subunit ribosomal RNA", at positions 394 to 509 of the family's 1533-position model. The record is from RNAcentral.